GGGGGGCUAUACAUGCAAGUCGAGCGGACAGAAGGGAGCUUGCUCCCGGAUGUUAGCGGCGGACGGGUGAGUAACACGUGGGUAACCUGCCUGUAAGACUGGGAUAACUCCGGGAAACCGGAGCUAAUACCGGAUAGUUCCUUGAACCGCAUGGUUCAAGGAUGAAAGACGGUUUCGGCUGUCACUUACAGAUGGACCCGCGGCGCAUUAGCUAGUUGGUGGGGUAAUGGCUCACCAAGGCGACGAUGCGUAGCCGACCUGAGAGGGUGAUCGGCCACACUGGGACUGAGACACGGCCCAGACUCCUACGGGAGGCAGCAGUAGGGAAUCUUCCGCAAUGGACGAAAGUCUGACGGAGCAACGCCGCGUGAGUGAUGAAGGUUUUCGGAUCGUAAAGCUCUGUUGUUAGGGAAGAACAAGUGCGAGAGUAACUGCUCGCACCUUGACGGUACCUAACCAGAAAGCCACGGCUAACUACGUGCCAGCAGCCGCGGUAAUACGUAGGUGGCAAGCGUUGUCCGGAAUUAUUGGGCGUAAAGGGCUCGCAGGCGGUUUCUUAAGUCUGAUGUGAAAGCCCCCGGCUCAACCGGGGAGGGUCAUUGGAAACUGGGAAACUUGAGUGCAGAAGAGGAGAGUGGAAUUCCACGUGUAGCGGUGAAAUGCGUAGAGAUGUGGAGGAACACCAGUGGCGAAGGCGACUCUCUGGUCUGUAACUGACGCUGAGGAGCGAAAGCGUGGGGAGCGAACAGGAUUAGAUACCCUGGUAGUCCACGCCGUAAACGAUGAGUGCUAAGUGUUAGGGGGUUUCCGCCCCUUAGUGCUGCAGCUAACGCAUUAAGCACUCCGCCUGGGGAGUACGGUCGCAAGACUGAAACUCAAAGGAAUUGACGGGGGCCCGCACAAGCGGUGGAGCAUGUGGUUUAAUUCGAAGCAACGCGAAGAACCUUACCAGGUCUUGACAUCCUCUGACAACCCUAGAGAUAGGGCUUUCCCUUCGGGGACAGAAUGACAGGUGGUGCAUGGUUGUCGUCAGCUCCUGUCGUGAGAUGUUGGGUUAAUUCCCGCAACAAGCGCAACCCUUGAUCUUAGUUGCCACCAUUUAGUUGGGCACUCUAAGGUGACUGCCGGUUACAAACCGGAAGAAGGGGGGGAUGACUUCCAAUCAUCAUGCCCCUUAUAACC
RNAcentral lists this ribosomal RNA (1182 nucleotides) under Bacillus zhangzhouensis. Its description in RNAcentral is "bacterial SSU rRNA". It matches the Rfam family "Bacterial small subunit ribosomal RNA", at positions 41 to 1209 of the family's 1533-position model. Lineage: Bacteria; Bacillati; Bacillota; Bacilli; Caryophanales; Bacillaceae. The record is from RNAcentral.